CUACCAUGCAGUCGAGCGGUACAGGAAGCGCUUGUUGCUUCUGUGAAGAGUGGCGGAGGGGUGAGUAGUGUGGGGGAAAGUGCGUGGUGGAGGGGGAUCACUAGUGGACAGGGGCUCUAACCCCGCAUAACCUCACAAGACCAAAGAGGGGGACCUUCGGCCCUCUUGCCCUCAUGUGUGCCCAUAUGGGAUUAUCUAAUAUGGGGGGUAACGGCUCCCCUACGACAAUAUCCCUAUGUGGUCUGAGAAGAUGACCACCCACUGUGGAUCUGACACACGGCCCACACUCCUACGGGAAGCAACAGUGGAAAAUAUUGCACAGUGGGCGCACCCCUGAUGCCCCCGUGCCGCGUGUAUGAAAAGCGCCUUCGGUUUGUAAAGUUUUUUCCGCGGAGAAGAGGGUGUUGAGGUUAAUAACCUCAGCAAUUGACGUUACCCGCAAAAAAAGCACCGGCUAUCUCCGUGCCAGCACCCGCGGUAAUACAGAGGGUGCAAGCGUUACUCAGAAUUACUGGGCGUAAAGCGCACGCGCGCGCUCUGUCAAGUCAGAUGUGAAAUCCCCGGGCUCACCCUGAGAACUGCUUUCAAAACUGGCGGGCUAGACUCUUGUAGAGGGGGGUAAAAUUCCAGGUGUAGCGGUGAAAUGCAUAGAUAUCUGGAAGAAUACCGGUGGCGAACGCGGCCCUGUGCACAAAGACUGACGCUCAUGUGCGAAAGCGUGGAGAGCAAACAAGAUUAUAUACUGUGAUACUACACGCCGUACACUAU
RNAcentral lists this ribosomal RNA (768 nucleotides) under uncultured Enterobacter sp. RNAcentral describes it as "bacterial SSU rRNA". It matches the Rfam family "Bacterial small subunit ribosomal RNA", at positions 49 to 810 of the family's 1533-position model. The record is from RNAcentral. Lineage: Bacteria; Pseudomonadati; Pseudomonadota; Gammaproteobacteria; Enterobacterales; Enterobacteriaceae.